GGGGGCCCGCACAAGCGGUGGAGCAUGUGGUUUAAUUCGAAGCAACGCGAAGAACCUUACCAGGCCUUGACAUCCAAUGAACUUUCCAGAGAUGGAUUGGUGCCUUCGGGAACAUUGAGACAGGUGCUGCAUGGCUGUCGCCAGCUCGUGUCGUGAGAUGUUGGGUUAAGUCCCGUAACGAGCGCAACCCUUGUCCUUAGUUACCAGCACGUCAUGGUGGGCACUCUAAGGAGACUGCCGGUGACAAACCGGAGGAAGGUGGGGAUGACGUCAAGUCCUCAUGGCCCUUAUAGGUAGGGCUACACACGUCAUACAAUGGCUGGUACAAAGGGUUGCCAACCCGCGAGGGGGAGCUAAUCCCAUAAAGCCAGUCGUAGUCCGGAUCGCAGUCUGCAACUCGACUGCGUGAAGUCGGAAUCGCUAGUAAUCGNGGAUCAGAAUGUCNCGGUGAAUACGUUCCCGGGUCUUGUACACACCGCCCGUCACACCAUGGGAGUGGGUUCUNCCAGAAGUAGUUAGCCUAACCGCAAGGAGGGCGAUUACCACGGUAGGGUUCAUGACUGGGGUGAAGUCGUAACAAGGUAACCGUAAGGGC
This 595-nucleotide ribosomal RNA is filed under the name uncultured bacterium. RNAcentral describes it as "bacterial SSU rRNA". It matches the Rfam family "Bacterial small subunit ribosomal RNA", at positions 915 to 1509 of the family's 1533-position model. The record is from RNAcentral.